RNAcentral lists this ribosomal RNA (492 nucleotides) under uncultured bacterium. RNAcentral's name for it is "partial 16S ribosomal RNA". It matches the Rfam family "Bacterial small subunit ribosomal RNA", at positions 29 to 507 of the family's 1533-position model. The record is from RNAcentral.
AGUGAACGCUGGCGGUGGGCCUAACACAUGCAAGUCGAACGGCAGCACAGUAAGAGCUUGCUCUUACGGGUGGCGAGUGGCGGACGGGUGAGGAAUACAUCGGAAUCUACUUUUUCGUGGGGGAUAACGUAGGGAAACUUACGCUAAUACCGCAUACGACCUACGGGUGAAAGCAGGGGAUCUUCGGACCUUGCGCGAUUGAAUGAGCCGAUGUCGGAUUAGCUAGUUGGCGGGGUAAAGGCCCACCAAGGCGACGAUCCGUAGCUGGUCUGAGAGGAUGAUCAGCCACACUGGAACUGAGACACGGUCCAGACUCCUACGGGAGGCAGCAGUGGGGAAUAUUGGACAAAGGGCGCAAGCCUGAUCCAGCCAUACCGCGUGGGUGAAGAAGGCCUUCGGGUUGUAAAGCCCUUUUGUUGGGAAAGAAAAGCAGCAGGUUAAUACCCCGCUGUUCUGACGGUACCCAAAGAAUAAGCACCGGCUAACUUCGUG